This 1140-nucleotide long non-coding RNA is filed under the name Olea europaea (common olive). Its description in RNAcentral is "long non-coding RNA (OEUR_LNC008648)". Lineage: Eukaryota; Viridiplantae; Streptophyta; Magnoliopsida; Lamiales; Oleaceae. The record is from RNAcentral.
UUCUUUAUAGUAGACUUGGAAAUUGAUAUAUCGAGAACAUCACAGACUUCCACCAAUUUUUCUUUGAAACACUUGUCAAGUUUCUCUUUUAGCUUCCUCAUUUGCUUUUCUUAAAACACGCAUAUUGAAAAUGCUGAGCUAUGCCUAUGUUUCAAAGAAGUUAUAAAUAGAUAUUGCACAAUCACCAGAUAACUAGAUAUAAUCUCUUCUUUACCUCAUCAUCAUGCCACACAAAUCCAGAAAAUUUAGAUAUGCUGCUUUUGAUAUCAGCUGCCUGCAGAAUUAGAUAGAAGUAUAGGCAUGAGUCAAAUAUCAGAAGUUAUCAACAAAAGCAUGAAAUGGACCCAACUACAGCAUAUCAUCAUUUUACAGUUGCCAGAAAAGCACGUUUGGAGCACCAAAUUUACUUUAAAUACCGAAGUAAAUUGGCAGGAGGUGGCAAAAGGUGGGUGAAUAUUGUUGCUAACAUCAUUUGCUUAUGCAAACUCACGAUUAUAUAACUCAACUUCAAUAUCAACAUCAAACAAAAAUAAUAGAAAAUAACAAUUAAAAAAAAUGGUCCAAAAAUUAAGUACUUAGGAGCCAAAUGUUUGCAAUUAAAAUUAAUUGUGACUUAUUUGCUUUGGUAAUAUUACCAUAAUAUUCAAAACGCAUUAAAGUAUCAGAAGACACGAUAUGCUUAACAAAUUCAAACCAUAAAUUUUUUCAAAUGCACGACAUGACAUAGCACCGAUAAAAUUUCCCAUACUGUCAAACAUCGUGCAACUCACAAAUUUCACUUUUAUAAUAUGAAACAGCAAGGUAAAUGCAUAAAAGACCUAAUAAUAUCAUCGGCAGAAUAGAUACACACCACUCUCUGGGAAUGUAGAGAUCCAUAUUUUGUCCCUCCUUGUUCUGUAUCUUGGCAAGUUGUUCAACUACAAACAAAGGUCAAGCACUUGGAUCCAAAACAAACCAAUUAACUGACCAAUUAUGUCCAAUAGGGUCUGUCCAGAGAAAUUCCCAAAAUUAAUCAUAUACACUUUGACUUAAAAUUUAAAUAUUAUAAUUUGAUGUUACAAUUAUGACUUUAAAAAUAAAUGCACAAGGAUCUAAUGUACAGCCCCACCAAAAAUCCCUAACUGGUCGACGGUAAAUCUU